RNAcentral lists this long non-coding RNA (1940 nucleotides) under Equus caballus (horse). RNAcentral's name for it is "lncRNA (ENSECAG00000046338.1)". Lineage: Eukaryota; Metazoa; Chordata; Mammalia; Perissodactyla; Equidae. The record is from RNAcentral.
UAUAACCAUGGGAAUCUGGUCAAGCUCCUGGAAGUCAAUCUCACAAUAUUGUGGGGCUCCCCUAUGACUGGGUCCCUUUGGAGUUUUUAACUGUCAGAGUUGUUCCAGCAGUCCGUCAAUUACAGUUCAGGUUUUCCUACCCUGGGCAAUGCUUCCUGCAGUGUGAGUCUUUGCUCCAGGAAGCCACCAUUUCCUGUGUUUGUCUGUCUGUCUCUCCAGUCUUGAGGGCUGCAGAUUGCUCUGUGUCUUCCCCUCUCUUAAGGAUCCUAGAAGAGUUGUUGAUUUUUCAGUCUGUUCAACUAUUUGCAUAUUAGGAUGGAUUGGCAACUUCCAAGCUGAUGGCAGAAGAUGCAAAACUUAGCAAAACUUGGGGACUUUGGCCAAGGAACUACUGGAGGAGGGCAUAGGAAAUGGAGCGUUUCUUGAACCUUUUCCCUUGGCUAUUGACUUCCUUAGAACUUCAGCUCUGUUGUCUCCUUUGAUUUCUCUUCUGGUUAAAUAUGGCUUUCAAGAUGCUCAGUGGCUGCACUGAUUUACAUUCCCACCAGAAGUGUAUGGUGCCAUUUUCUCCAACGGAUGAAUAGAUAAAGAAGAUAUGGUAUAUAUAUAAAAUGGAAUACUACUCAGCCAUAAAAAAGAUGAAACCUUGUCAUUUGAAACAACAUGGAUGGUCCUUGAGGGUCUUAUGCUAAGUGAAAUGUCAGAUGGAGGAAGACAAAUACCAUAUGAUUUCAUUCAUAUAUGGAAGAUAAACAAGCAAACACAUAGAUGCAGAGAACAGAUUGGUGGUUACCAGAGGGGUAGAGGACUGGGAGGAGGGUGAAAGGAGUAAAGGGGCACAUAUGUAAGGUGAUGGAUGGCAACUAGACUUUUGGUAGUGAACACAACAUAGUCUAUACAGAAGUCAAAAUAUAAUGAUAUACACCUGAAGUUUAUAUAAUGUUAUAAACCAAUGUUACUUUAAUAAAAAAAUAAACAAUUAUACUCUUUCUUCUUUCUUACAUUAAUGCCAGAAUUUAAAACAUCUUUAAAGAUGGACAACAUCUCUAUGUGUGUGUGCAUGUGAGAGAGAUAGAGAGGGAGAAAGAGGGAGAGGGAGAGAGAAAAAGAGGGAGAGAGAAAAGACAUAGGUUAAAGAAUGUGUGCUAAAUUCUGGCUUGGCAAGUAAGUUUGGAUUUUUGGAAACUUCCCAAGUUGAUUUCAACGUUCGUACUUAUCACUAGGAAUUUGUUUAAUUUGCCUGUUAAUAUGCUAAGGUUUAUAAUUUACAUGACUUUUUUUCUCACGUAUUCUUUGAGGUAAUUUACUUUUCAAAGUCUACAUGGAUUCCUCUGAGUUUACUUGAAUAAUUGUAAAUAUGGUCUUCAUUUGCAUUUCCAUGUAUAAAGAUGUCUUUGACAAAUACAAGGUCAUUUGGAAAUAUUCUUUUUAUUAAAACACUGACAUUUAGCAAUGAGUUGAAUGUGACUUUAUAAUAUUCACUUUUAACUGUGAAUGAACUAAGCUUAUCAAUAUUAUAUGUUAACAUUGUAUACUGAUUCUUCAAAUUUAAUUUAAGGUAGCUCUAAUCUUUGAGAACAAUUUCUCUAUUUUGCCUAUUUUGUAACUGCCAGCAAUCCUUGCCUCCUGGAUUUACGCCUUAUGUUGUUUCCUCCCACUUUAAACACAGCUUGAUUCAGUAAAUUUUCUCUAGUAUUUUCCAUUGAUUUUAUCACUUCUUAUAGUAUUUACAUAUAUCAAUAACUGUCAAAUGUAUGACCUGUUAAAUAGAAGACUUUAUUUACUAGGAUUCUAGGCAAAAUGCUUAUCUCAAGAAAUGCAGUUAAUGGAUGAUGGAUGACACUUUCCAAGUGACUAGUCAUGGUUGGAAAUGUGUCAAGAUUUAGAGGAAAUGUAGUGAAAAGUGAGCAGUGUGACAGUGUGGUAGUGCUGGGACAAAG